UGUUUUCCGUCUGUUGCCUUUUCAGUAAAACGAUCCUCUUUUGACGUCAGCGCUGAUGUCAGGAGAAGGGGAGGCACCAGACACACUGCCCUCAACAGGGGGGCCUGUUUGAAUCCUCCCAAUAUUCCUGCUGUGUGACCUUGAACACAGUGCUUAAUUCCUCUGAGCCUCAGUUUCCUCAUCGGUGAAAGAGGAGUGACGAUGGGGCUUCCUUAAAGGGCUGUGGAAAACACUGAGUGAAAUAAAACAGGGCCAGAGGUUGGCCCAUGUAAGGGCUCCUAAGAGUUGCCAGGAAGUGACAUAUUAAUAGCCGAUCACAGUCACACUCCACAAUGUUUCCUUUAAAUCAAUUUAUUUUAAAAAGAAGCCUACAAAGGUCAACCGUGUGUGUGUGUGUGUGUGUGUGUGUGUGUGUGUGUGUAUUUGAAUCCUGAGAUAAGUUGGGUAAGGGAGCAAUGACCAGUGUGACCUUAGCCUGGUAAAGCCCGUGGAACCGCAAAGGAGAUGCAAGAGGCUGGCCUCUUCCUGUGCGGGGGUGGGGAGUCAGAACUAGAGAAGGAGGCGCUGGGGCUUAUGGGAGACUGUCCCGCUCACAGUUAAUUGUGAGAUGCUCUUCCUCAGUGCUGGGCUUUUGCCCACUCACAUCUGGUGCUGGGAGUCCCUCGUGAUGUCUGCAGGGCUCCCGGCCGCCUCCACGCCUCCACUCCUGGAAGCUGGGGCGAUGUCCAGUUACUCCUAGAAGACUCGUCUCCGCUCCUGGCACUGCCCUUUAAGAGUAAAAAACCAGCAACUGUUGUUCCUGGAUGGAGAAGUUCCCUCCAAGAGGAUGAGGGACUGCGGGGGAGUCGGCCGUUCUGCCUGGCAGAGGAGGCUGCUGGGAGUGGACAGGUGCCCGCUCCAUGAAGAUUUCCCCAUGAGGACAGGGAACUGAGCUGCCCUGCAGACCUGGGCUCAGUGUGGAAACUGCUGGGAGCAGCGUUUCCCAGGAGAGCCGAAUGGUGAUGCUUUUUGUAGGUAGUGAGCUCCCCGUCACGGGAGGUGUGUGAGCAGAACUAGCCCACCUUCUGACGGUGAUGCCGUGAAAGCAUUUCCAAUGGCAGAAGCAGGAUCAGACUUGGGGUUUCCAAACUUCAUUUUGGAUUUUAUUCCUUGAGACCAUUAUUUACACUUUUUCUUCCUCUGAACAAUUUAUGUAUUUUAUUAAAAGAGUGAGUUUAGUUUUAAAAAGGUGAAUCUGUGUCAUUACCAUAGAGAGGUUACCAUAAAAAAUGGGUACAAGAGAAAGUGGUAUUUGACGUUAGCCAAGUACUGCUGCCUGAGAAGGGCCCCUGAGCCUUAGAUCUGCUCUGACGUUAGCCAAGUACUGCUGCCUGAGAAGGGCCCCUGAGCCUUAGACCUGCGCGUUCCUUGUGUGUAAAGGGACACUGGCGAGUGUCAGACAGGUGCUGGAGAUGGACUGUCACUAACAAGACGUUUUCUUGGAUGUGACCGGCACAGAGCAACGAGAGGGUGGAAGGAGCCAGCUCCCUCAGGCCAUUGCGUCCAUUACCCACAGGCCACAGAGGCCCUCACCCGCCCUGGGGGGAAACACUGGCCCCGAGGCCCCCGAGGAGCCCUGUCUUGCUGGACCGUGUCUGCACCAGGGAUCCUCCCACAGGACUCGGCUACGGGCACAAUUUGAAAGGUAAAUCGGGGACACACAUUUCAGGUGUGUUAAUGCAAAACGCAGAUCUCUGGUGCUCAAGGCGAACCCUGAGCUCAGGCACCUUGAGGGGCCCCGGGAACACCUGUGCGCCCUGGGACCACGUGCUGUGCAGCCCCGGAUGCCAAGGGGUCCAAGAUCUAGCUCAGACCCCCCCGGCCACCAGCACCGUGGGCUCAGGAGACUCUAUCCUCGCCUUGCAGGAGCUAGGAGGCGUGGGAGGAGGCCCUAGAGGUCACCCGCAGAGCACAGCAGCCUUUGAGAACAAGGGUAGCCUGAUAAAGUGUCCUGGAACAUUCUGAACUCGCUAAGUUCUAUCCCGGUGGGGCUUUGUCUGCAGAGGAAGUCAUUAAAAGGGAAAGAAAGCACGAACCCAGGUCCCUCUGGCUCCCCUCUGCUGCCUGUCCUGGCAGCUCUAGGGGCUCAGAAUAGGCGCUUCACACUUUUAUGGUCAAUCACGGUCCUCCGGCACAGUGUUUGGAGCCCCUCCGUCCAAGAACUGAAAUGGAGGAGCUGGUGCGGACACACCCCCUCUCUCCACGGACUUCAGCUGGCUCUAUGGACAUCUUACUUUGGGGAAAGUGUGUCUCCUCCUGAGAUCAGAAGAGAAGUGAAGAGAGAGAGAGACAAACUUUCUCCAUGUCGUUGGAGACAGGAAGCUCCCCCGCUGCCACACGAGACUUGACACCCCAGUCUGGUGUCUGGCCUGGAAAAGGGACCAUCAGACAUGGUAUCUGAAAACAACAUAGCUUAGCGAGCGUGCUGUAUUUGAAGAACACUUAAAAUCCUAUGUUCACUGCUAUUUUGGUGAAUUUUGCAUAUGUAUCAGUUGAAUCAUUUGAAACUGCCCAUGUUCUUCCUUUUUUGACUUCCCAAGAUGUCCAUUUCCACCUAAUGACAACUGACACCACACCUCAGAAAUGAUGCAAACAUGUUGCAACAAAGUAGGCUGAUUUCACUGUUUCGCAUGAGAAAGAGGAUUUUGCUGAAGGUUAAGGAGGUCAGGCUUGGUUACAGACAGUGGCUGUGUGAGCUGUUGUGAUCUGUCAGACGCUGUGGCCAGGUGAGGAUGAGUAUUCAGUGCGGUCCAGGUGUGGGCUGACAGCUGGCUUACCGAAGAAGAGAAUCAUGAGGUCAGAGUGGUCCCAGGAAGAGACUCAGCCCAGAGACGUCCAAACUUCCUGGAAGGCAGAGCUUCAUGGGGGAUUAAGCUUGUCAGUUGUAAUUCCACCCUAGGCGGGGAGAGCCCCUUUGCAGCAGAGCAGACGGCUCUGGACUCUGCACGGCUGCCUGCUGACCUUUCCCUGGGUCGCUUUAUCAGCUUCCGGCACCUCUCACAGCGCUCAGUGCCGUGCUGGGGGUGCGCAGGCCCUCCACUCAAGCUGCCACCGUCGUGGCAGGAUCUCUGUGCUCCAACAGCACUGCUUUGCUAACCUCUGAUGUGAACUGAGAUGUCGGCCUCGGGGGCCGGGACACCGUCCAGCUCGGUGCAAGCACCUGUUGGCUGGUCCAGGCAAAUUGUGAAGGGCCGACUCGGGGCCACAAACCUCCCCCCUGCUCCUCACUCUUUGUGUCUCCCCGGCAAGGUGACUCGGAGUUUCAAUUCCAUCUUUGUCUUUUUUAGAGUAUCUGCGGCCUUUGAAGGCAGCUGCUGGGGAAUCGGAUUCCCCUGCACAGGUCCCGGGCAUUCUCCCAAAACGCUGGUGGACGCGGGAGGCUCUCCCUGGGGUUACAGAUUCACAGAUAAGCCACACGGAGCAACAUGCGUUUACCGUCCAAAGGCUGCCCUUCUGGCGGCGGUGAUGGGAGCGCUGGGCCAGGAGAACAGAGACCCUCAUUCACAAGCACUUACUUGGGUCGGCUUAUUCCGCCGGUGAUAAAUCAGGCGUCUGGACAGGCAGAUGCCGGCGGUGUCAGGUUCUCUCUAGAAGCCACUGGAAAUUGCUCAGAGAGCUUGGAGUUAGAGACUAGGUUUUGAGUAGAAAAAGAUGGAGUCUGGACUUCCCCGCCCUCCCUUAGAGCCCUGAGCCCUAAGGACACCAUCUGAGGACACCCCGGGGCACCCUAAGUUCCAGGAAAGGCAGACAGCAGAGUGAGGAGAAGCCCCCCUCCGUGCCGGGGGCUCCACGGCACAGGCGUUGCCGAAACUGCGGGCAGGGACGUGCCAGGCCCCCCGGCGCCCGCAGAGCCCAACACUGUCCAGACCCAGGGCCUCGGCUGCCCAGCAUUUCCCUAUAAAAAUCAUUUGAGUUUCAUUGUGGACUCACUUGUGCGGUCCUUCUGCAUCCGCUUCCAUAAAGAAGCAAGUGUCUUUGCCAGGUGGAAGGCAUGGGAACUGCCCAGGCCUGCCCAGUGCCCGCCCUGCCAGUAUGAGGGUGGAGGUGGGCUCAGAAGGUCCACCCAGUGGAGACUUCACAUUCCGGAAGGACCCCACUUCAGGGGAGUCGCUACAGUAGCUUCAAACACAGCUAUGUAUGCAUCGCGGGGUCCAUCAUGGCAGAGAGACGCCCGCCAAGCCUCCCGCCUGUAAUGCACAACGUUAUUCGUCAAUCCUGUAAUUGCCACGUGACUAGGAAGAUUGUAUUGCAUCGAGGGUGUUUUUGUGUUAAAGACAAUGAACGCAGACCUUCAAAUUAUCAACAA
This is a long non-coding RNA of Aethalodelphis obliquidens (Pacific white-sided dolphin), 4345 nucleotides long. RefSeq lists it as uncharacterized. The record is from RefSeq and is a predicted model, not a curated record. NCBI's taxonomy places the organism in Eukaryota, Metazoa, Chordata, Mammalia, Artiodactyla, Delphinidae. The transcript has 2 exons.